CCUACGGGUGGCAGCAGUGGGGAAUUGUUCGCAAUGGGCGCAAGCCUGACGACGCAACGCCGCGUGGAGGAUGAAGAUCUUCGGGUCGUAAACUCCUGUCGAGUGGGAAGAAUAGUUUCCGGGCGAAUAUCCCGGGAGCCUGACGGUACCACUAAAGGAAGCCCCGGCUAACUCCGUGCCAGCAGCCGCGGUAAUACGGGGGGGGCAAGCGUUGUUCGGAAUUACUGGGCGUAAAGGGCUCGUAGGCGGCCAACUAAGUCGGAUGUGAAAUCCCC
This 275-nucleotide ribosomal RNA is filed under the name uncultured bacterium. RNAcentral's name for it is "partial 16S ribosomal RNA". It matches the Rfam family "Bacterial small subunit ribosomal RNA", at positions 338 to 604 of the family's 1533-position model. The record is from RNAcentral.